RNAcentral lists this long non-coding RNA (1611 nucleotides) under Nasonia vitripennis (jewel wasp). RNAcentral describes it as "uncharacterized LOC116416742, transcript variant X3". The record is from RNAcentral. Lineage: Eukaryota; Metazoa; Arthropoda; Insecta; Hymenoptera; Pteromalidae.
GAGUGCUUCUGGCAUCCUCAACACGGAUAAGGGCGCCCUGCUCAUGGAGCAGUGCUUCAAGCGCAUAAAUAGCCUGGCUAAGAGUCCGAAGCUGCCGUUGCGCAUACUCUUUAUGCUCCGCGACGUCAUGGAGCUCUGGAGGGACCGCGGAGUGUAGCGCGACAGAGGGCCCCAUCAACCAGAUCCGCAAUGACAACGACGAGCACUCGAGCCCCGGCGGGUCGCUUGGCGGUGGACCCUGCGGCUACGACUACGGCCGCAAUUGCGGCGAACCUGACGACGAGCCGAGCUCCUGGGCCCUGAUAAACGCUCGGGCUCCUGGCUUACGGCAUUCUUUCGAGCAAUUGCUCUGAUUUGCACUGGAGCUCCGGACCUUUAGCUCCAAUGGCUUCUACAACAUCAACCAGCGCAAUCAGCCUUCCCUCUUUACCCCAACCAGAAAUAGCCAGUAGAACAAUUUCUUGGCCAAGCAUAACCAGCAGCAGCACAACUCACCCCAGAACUGCAAUAAACAACGUAUGCAGACUCUUGAUAAGGAAUUCAAAGCUCUGGAAGACGAAUGCAGGAAAGUGAUGAGGAGGUCAAGGUCUUUCAAGACUUGAACUAACAAUUCAAAGAGGAAUGUCGAGUUGCUAUUGCUGACAGCAAUUAUAUAAGAUAUUGAAUGCAGGUGUGUGGGCGAGAGGUCGUCAAGGCUGAUCUCAUAACUUACCUGCGCUUCCCUAACUCAGAAGAUAUUCAGAUGGCGUCGUUACGCGACUGGAUCGCGAGCUUGAGGCCGCUUCAUGCAUUGGCGCCGAUUUUCGAAAAAUAAAUGAAGAUCGCGAUAUUAACCUGCCGGACGUGGAGCUCUGGGAGCUCAUCAACAUCGUGCUGCUGCAGAUGAUGAGCAUCACGGAUCGUUUGGCAUCAGAGCUGCCUGGGACAAUCAGCAUCAAAACGAGGGACAGGAGUUUUCAGCAGAUAUCUGCGAAAAUUAACCAGCGCUAUCACCGCAGUUUCAAUCGUCGUAUCACAGUUGGUGAUGUCGAAAUCGUCUGGGAUUAUUUGACCGCACAUCACAGCCGCAUCCGCGAGUAUUUGCGACUUGGAUACAUCCGGAAAGCUGACUUGGAUUCGAUUCACUGGGCCAUUUACAAAGACCUCCGCAGUAUGCCGAUGUUAAUUUAAGAAUGUGAUUUAAAAAGAACCUACACGCUAUGAGAGUUUUGUGGCAGGAAAAUCAAAAUGCGCAGCAGAUCGCAGAGGCAGUGAAUUGCUCAUUAGCCACCGCUUACAGGUAUGUGCAACGAUUCCAACAAGAAAUGGAUGGUAGAGAAAUAGUUCAAGAUCGACGAAACAACUCUGGCAGGCAUAACAAGAUAUCCGAUGAGGACCUUGUAUUGGUAAUGGCCGCAAUGCAGGAGGAUCCAUUUCGGGCCGUGAAACAUUUGCCAGAAUUAUUGAACCUAGACGUUCAUGAAGAAACGCUGAGAACAGCUAUAAAAAAGGACAAAUCUUACGUAUCGUAAAGCUGCAGUUAAAAUUCAUCUGAACCACCAGGAUGUCAUCGCUCGCCUGCAUUAUGCCAAUACUUAUUUGAAUAGGACUGAGGAGGAAUGGAGAAGAAUG